AAUCAACGCUGGCGGCGUGCCUAACACAUGCAAGUCGAACGAGAAAGUGGCAGCAAUGCCAUGAGUACAGUGGCGCACGGGUGAGUAACACGUGACUAACCUACCCAGGAGUGGGGAAUAACUUCGGGAAACCGAGGCUAAUACCGCAUAACACCUACGGGUCAAAGGAGCAAUUCGCUUCUGGAGGGGGUCGCGGCCGAUUAGUUAGUUGGCAGGGUAAUGGCCUACCAAGACGAUGAUCGGUAUCCGGCCUGAGAGGGCGCACGGACACACUGGAACUGAAACACGGUCCAGACUCCUACGGGAGGCAGCAGUGGGGAAUUUUGCGCAAUGGGGGAAACCCUGACGCAGCAACGCCGCGUGGAGGAUGAAGUCCUU
RNAcentral lists this ribosomal RNA (378 nucleotides) under uncultured bacterium. RNAcentral's name for it is "bacterial SSU rRNA". It matches the Rfam family "Bacterial small subunit ribosomal RNA", at positions 32 to 418 of the family's 1533-position model. The record is from RNAcentral.